RNAcentral lists this long non-coding RNA (1986 nucleotides) under Equus caballus (horse). RNAcentral's name for it is "lncRNA (ENSECAG00000048984.1)". Lineage: Eukaryota; Metazoa; Chordata; Mammalia; Perissodactyla; Equidae. The record is from RNAcentral.
UUUAAUGAUGACACACACGCUCAUAUUUUCUAUUUCUAUUUCUUCUUGUACCAGUUUUGUUAUUUCAUAUUUUUUCUGGAAAAAAUAUUCAAAUGUCUGAAGAUUUAUUAUCAUUAACUUGUACAUAAUUCAUGUGAACCCCCUCAAAUGAUUCUUCAAUUAGCCUAUCUUGAUUUAAAGCAUUUUGGGUUUUUCUUUUUUGUUGUUUUUUUGAGGAAGAUUAGCCCUGAGCUAACGUCUGCUGCCAAUCCUCCACUUGUUGCUGAGGAAGAUUGGCUCUGAGAUAUCACGCAUGCCCAUCUUCCUCUACUUUGUAUGUGGGACUCCUGCUUAAUAAGCAGUGCGUAGGCCCGUGCCCAGGAUCUGAACUGGUGAACCCCGGCCCACCAAAGCGGAGCUGGCUAACUUAACCACUGUGCGACUGGGUACCCCAGCAUUUUGGUUUUUAAUUCACAAAUUUUGUUCAACAGUUUUGAAUGGACAAAGAACUUGGGGAGAAGAAAAGAGGUAACUAGCUCAUUAUGGCAAUUUUACACUAUUUUCAACUGACAGACUUUGAGAAUCAUUAGAAGACAAAUUGGCAAGGAAACAACACACGCUCAAGAGUCAAAAGGACAGCUGAACAACAACAAAAAACAAACAAGCUGAUUUAAAAAUGGGCGAAGGACUUGAAUAGACAUUUCUCCAAAGAAGAUAUAUAAAUGGGUAAUAAGCACAUGAAAAGGUGCUCAGCAUCACCAAUCAUUAGGAAAAUGUAAAUCAAAACCACAAUGUUAUACCACUUCACACUCGUUAAGAUGGCUAUUACAAAACAGAAAAACAAACAAACAAAAAACCCCCGGAGGAUCAGUGUUAGCAAGGAUGUGGAGAAACUGGAACACUUGUGCACUGCUGGUGGGAAUUGAAAUGGUGCAGCUGCUGUGGAAAACCAUAAGGCUGUUCCUCAAAAAAUUAAAAAUAGAAUUACCAUAUGAUCCAGCAAGUCCACUUCUGGGUAUUUAUCUAAAAGAAUUGAGAGCGGGGACUCAAACAAAUAUUUGUACACUGAUAUUCAUAGCAGCGUUAUUCACAAUAGCCAAAAGCUGGAAGUAACUCGUGUCCAUUGAUAGAUAAACAGAUAAGCAAAAUGUGAUAUAUAUAUACAAUGGAAUAUUAUUCAGCUUUAAAAAGGAAGGAAUUUGGCAUAUGCUAUAACAUAGCUGAACCUUGAGGACAUUAUGCUAAAUGAAAUAAUGCAGUUAUCAAAGAACAAAUACUGCAUGAUUACACUGAUAUGAGAUACCUAGAGUAGUCAAAUUCAUAGAGACAGGAAGUAGAUGAUGGUUGCCAGGGAUGAGGUGGAAGAGGGAAUGGGGAGUUCUUGUUUAAUGGGUAUAGAGUUUCAGUUUAGGAAGAAGAAAAAAGAGGAAAAAAGUUCUGGAGAUGGAUGGUGGUGACGGUUGCACAACAAUGAGAACGUACUUAAUGCCUCUGAACUGGACACUCAAACUUCACACCAUUCACAUAUAUAUGUAUAGUAUAUUUUACUACAACAAAAAAGAGUCAAAGGAAUCCAGAAAAGAAGUCUGAUGACUGGGAGAACCUAAUUAAUGGCUUAAACUUGAACCAAACUAGUUGAAUUACGCAUCGCUCUGCAUAUCCACCUCACGAGGGACUGGGCCUCCAGAGCCCAUCGCACAGCACUGAGCGCCAAUACUAAUGGACCAAUGGUGCAAAGGCCAGAGCAGGGAAGAAGCAGGGGCCGUUCAGGGGAGAUUUGGGGAACAGGGCUGGAGGAAUGUCUUCCCAAGAAUGAUCCCUCCCACAGAGGGCCCAAACAGUCAUCUGGAGAAGCAGCAAAGGAGCCUUCAGGAUGGAGACUGCACUGACGGAAACUGCGUCAUCCCCAUCUUGUCCUUAGAACACACAUUCCAUAGCAAAAUUUUUGCCUCUUUAAGAAAAUAGACAAAGAAAUUAAAAUAUAAUGUUACAUAUGUUGUUGUUAUA